This 346-nucleotide unclassified non-coding RNA is filed under the name soil metagenome. RNAcentral describes it as "partial contains 5.8S ribosomal RNA, internal transcribed spacer 2, and large subunit ribosomal RNA". The stretch from base 1 to 120 matches the Rfam family "5.8S ribosomal RNA", at positions 35 to 154 of the family's 154-position model. The record is from RNAcentral.
GAUGAAGAACGCAGCGAAAUGCGAUAAGUAGUGUGAAUUGCAGAAUUCCGUGAAUCAUCGAAUCUUUGAACGCACAUUGCGCCCGCUGGUAUUCCGGCGGGCAUGCCUGUUCGAGCGUCAUUUCAACCCUCAAGCCCCCGGGUUUGGUGUUGGGGAUCGGCUCUGCCUUCUGGCGGUGCCGCCCCCGAAAUACAUUGGCGGUCUCGCUGCAGCCUCCAUUGCGUAGUAGCUAACACCUCGCAACUGGAACGCGGCGCGGCCAUGCCGUAAAACCCCAACUUCUGAAUGUUGACCUCGGAUCAGGUAGGAAUACCCGCUGAACUUAAGCAUAUCAAUAAGCGGAGGA